Molecule: non-coding RNA, 45 nt
Filed under: Schistosoma mansoni
Lineage: Eukaryota; Metazoa; Platyhelminthes; Trematoda; Strigeidida; Schistosomatidae
Source: RNAcentral
GUUUAGCUGACGAAUCGCAAAUGGAACUAAACGCGCUUCCUGGAC